Molecule: transfer RNA, 102 nt
Filed under: Hypoxylon sp. CI-4A
Lineage: Eukaryota; Fungi; Ascomycota; Sordariomycetes; Xylariales; Hypoxylaceae
Rfam family: tRNA
About the family: Transfer RNA (tRNA) molecules are approximately 80 nucleotides in length.
Source: Rfam by way of RNAcentral
GGCAAGAUGGCCGAGUUGGUUAUGGCGCCAGGUUAAGGUCUCAAUCUUAGCAACUGAUUCCUGGUGGAGCAAUCCGCGUGGGUUCAAGUCCCACUCUUGUCA